Phasianus colchicus (ring-necked pheasant) is the source of this 1631-nucleotide long non-coding RNA. NCBI's taxonomy places the organism in Eukaryota, Metazoa, Chordata, Aves, Galliformes, Phasianidae. The record is from Ensembl.
UGAGGAUUACCAGGAGUGGCUCUACUGCCUCAAAACUGCCCAGUUUCGAAAUGCUGACUCCUCCUUGUCCGGAUCAGAGAGUUUCUCAGGAUCAAAGCUGCCACACCUCAGCCAGUUUGCUGGCAGUGGGAGAGGCUCACUGGCCUCCGAUGGCCGCACCAACUCUUGGGCAUCUGGAGGGAAAGGGACCAACACCCUGACACACCUGUCCCAGCACAGCGGCUCGCUGCACGACGCUCAGUCCUUCAUGUUGCUGGAGGAGCCACACAGCCCUGGCUAUUCCCAACCUCUCCACUGCCUGCCCCACACCAACUGGCCGAGCACCGUGCUGCCUGUGCAGGAGCUGCGGAGGGGCAGCAGCACCAAGAAGCCUAAAGGCAGAUGUGGUCCAGGCACACAGGAUGUGGAACAGGCACCGUGCAGCCUCAUCCCCCAGCACCCCAUCCUGCCUGCUCUGUACAGUGAGCCAUACUGCACCUACAGCACACCGCAUCGCUCCACGGACCCCCCUGCACAGCUGGAACUGAGCAAUGUCCUGCAGUGUCAGAAGAUUGCCCAGCCCCUGCCUGGCAGGCACUGGAUGGAGGUGCUCGGGGCACAGAGACACCCCCAGCUUCCUGCUGAUGCUCCAUACCUUGCCAACGUGUCAUCUCUGCCAGAGGAACAUCUGGGCCCCUUGCUGCAGCCACCAGAUGAUGGCAUGGGUGCCUACGAUGUGCCAGAAGGCGGCUGCCUGCACCGUGACUCUGCAGUGUACCACGACUACGCUGAGCUGCAGAGCUUCCAGAGCGAGCUCAGCUAUGACAACCUGUGGGACGCCGAGGGCAGGGAGCCAGACAGCCCAGCACCCUGCUAUGAAGUGUGAGCAGAGGUCUCACCGGGCACAGGAUGACCCCUGGGCUCUGUUCUCCUACCCCAGUGGGUACAGGAAGCAAAGGGACCCGCAGCGAUCCCUGGGAGCAGUGUUAAGGACAUCCCAGAAUGGUUCCCAUUGCGGGGAGGGGGUAAGGGGGGGGACACAUCCUCCUCCCAUCCCUCAGUGUCUGGGGGAACCUGGGGAGAUCAGGGCACAAACAACAGGGGACAGAGUCUGGGUGCUAUCGCUCUGCAGCCUCUUGGCCAGAUCCCUCAGCACAUACGAGGUCAGCAGCAAACCCAAAUGUUUUCUUUUUUUUACCUGAGGCUCCAAAUUCUUAACCUUUGUCCCCUCCAGAGGCUGCAAACCAAACAUAGCGAUGAAAAUCUGUUUCGGUGCACACAAAGCAACCCAGCAGCGUUUUGUACUUGAAUGUCUACGUAUUACAUUGUACUUACCUGUAUUUUCCAGAAGGUAUCCAGCAAAGUUUACAUGCGAGGUUUGAGUGAAUUUGAUGUAUUUAAUGUGUAGAUGUGGCUGAGUAGGAGAUGUAUUUAAUGUUGAAGCUGUGGAUGAGGCUCGGUGCUGCAGUGUGUGUGUUGGGUUGGGUCUUCUGCUGUCGUUGUGUCGUUCCAGGUUUACCUUCUUGUUGGGAAGCUGUGUACUAAUAACCGAAAGGAUCUAUUUAUUCAGAAUGGAAUGGUACUGUGAGCCCUACAAUUACAGCACACCUUCCUCUGCCAGGCGUUGUUCUCUCUUUGCCAUCCCUGUGCCU